RNAcentral lists this ribosomal RNA (230 nucleotides) under uncultured bacterium. Its description in RNAcentral is "partial 16S ribosomal RNA". It matches the Rfam family "Bacterial small subunit ribosomal RNA", at positions 524 to 753 of the family's 1533-position model. The record is from RNAcentral.
UACGUAGGGUGCAAGCGUUGUCCGGAAUUAUUGGGCGUAAAGAGCUCGUAGGCGGUUUGUCGCGUCUGCUGUGAAAACUCGGGGCUUAACCCCGGGCCUGCAGUGGGUACGGGCAGACUAGAGUGCGGUAGGGGAGACUGGAAUUCCUGGUGUAGCGGUGAAAUGCGCAGAUAUCAGGAGGAACACCGGUGGCGAAGGCGGUUCUCUGGGCAUGUCCUGACGCUGAGGAG